UGGGGAAUUUUGCACAAUGGGGGAAACCCUGAUGCAGCGACGCCGCGUGAUUUAGAAGGCCUUCGGGUUGUAAAAAUCUUUUCUAUGGGAAGAAAAUGACAGUACCAUAGGAAUAAGGACCGGCUAGUUACGUGCCAGCAGCCGCGGUAAUACGUAAGGUCCGAGCGUUGUCCGGAAUCAUUGGGCGUAAAGGGUACGUAGGCGGGUAAGCAAGUUAGAAGUGAAAUCCUGUAGCUCAACUACAGUAAGCUUUUAAAACUGCUCAUCUUGAGAUAUGGAAGGGAAAGUGGAAUUCCUAGUGUAGCGGUGAAAUGCGCAGAUAUUAGGAGGAAUACCGGUGGCGAAGGCGACUUUCUGGCCAUAAUCUGACGCUGAGGUACGAAAGCGUGGGUAGCAAACAGG
This 402-nucleotide ribosomal RNA is filed under the name Bacteroidota bacterium. RNAcentral's name for it is "Bacteroidetes bacterium partial 16S ribosomal RNA". It matches the Rfam family "Bacterial small subunit ribosomal RNA", at positions 355 to 776 of the family's 1533-position model. Lineage: Bacteria; Pseudomonadati; Bacteroidota. The record is from RNAcentral.